ACAAGUGUAAGACUAGAUUAAAUUGCAAGUUUAAGCUUUGGGGCACCCCUUAUACUU
RNAcentral lists this transfer RNA (57 nucleotides) under Liposcelis bostrychophila. Its description in RNAcentral is "tRNA-Cys". The record is from RNAcentral. Lineage: Eukaryota; Metazoa; Arthropoda; Insecta; Psocodea; Liposcelididae.